This 137-nucleotide ribosomal RNA is filed under the name uncultured bacterium. RNAcentral's name for it is "partial 16S ribosomal RNA". It matches the Rfam family "Bacterial small subunit ribosomal RNA", at positions 355 to 509 of the family's 1533-position model. The record is from RNAcentral.
UGGGGAAUAUUGGACAAUGGGCGCAAGCCUGAUCCAGCCAUGCCGCGUGAGUGAUGAAGGUCUUAGGAUUGUAAAGCUCUUUCACCGGAGAAGAUAAUGACGGUAUCCGGAGAAGAAGCCCCGGCUAACUUCGUGCC